RNAcentral lists this long non-coding RNA (304 nucleotides) under Mytilus galloprovincialis (Mediterranean mussel). The record is from RNAcentral. Lineage: Eukaryota; Metazoa; Mollusca; Bivalvia; Mytilida; Mytilidae.
GUCUUGACAUAGAAAAGUCCACUUCUACAUCUUUGUUUUCAAUAAUGUUAGAAGCUCCCGAACUGUUUGGCCUGUUAUUGAUAAAUCAAUUUUGGAUUCUUCUGUUGUAUCACGGUCUUCAAAUCGGAAUCCCAGGUCUGAUUUAUGAUACUGCAAUAUCAAACUGUUCUCGCUCACUUUUUUUUUAUCAAUUUCAUACGAAUUACCAUUUUUUCCCUCCUUUUCUUUUUUCUUGGACUUCAGAUUUUCUGUUUCUGCGACAGAUUCCUUUAUUUUGGCAGUAACUUUUCUUUCCCUUUUUGUA